Molecule: ribosomal RNA, 300 nt
Filed under: uncultured bacterium
Lineage: Bacteria
Description: bacterial SSU rRNA
Rfam family: Bacterial small subunit ribosomal RNA
Source: RNAcentral
UCCACGCCCUAAACGAUGUCAACUAGCUGUUGGGGCCUUCGGGCCUUAGUAGCGCAGCUAACGCGUGAAGUUGACCGCCUGGGGAGUACGGUCGCAAGAUUAAAACUCAAAGGAAUUGACGGGGACCCGCACAAGCGGUGGAUGAUGUGGAUUAAUUCGAUGCAACGCGAAAAACCUUACCUACCCUUGACAUGUCUGGAAUCCCGAAGAGAUUUGGGAGUGCUCGCAAGAGAACCGGAACACAGGUGCUGCAUGGCUGUCGUCAGCUCGUGUCGUGAGAUGUUGGGUUAAGUCCCGCAA